This is a long non-coding RNA of Scylla paramamosain (green mud crab), 2949 nucleotides long. RefSeq lists it as uncharacterized. The record is from RefSeq and is a predicted model, not a curated record. Lineage: Eukaryota; Metazoa; Arthropoda; Malacostraca; Decapoda; Portunidae. The transcript has 5 exons.
GCACUAACAGUGGUGUCCUGACCCUCGGCAUGGUUGUGCGUUGUGCGUCGCUUAGCCUGGACCAAUAAUUUCUGAGUCUUUUCGUAACAUUCUGGCUGUAUAGAAAUGAGCUCGAACUCAAGAUCCAAAACCCGAGGUGAAUCAUCCGAAUCAUCAUCUCACCCUCCCUCAUGCCCAGCCCCGGUUUCGUUUCUGGACCGUGUGCCUAAACACAGUGCGUCCCCGACAGGAGGCAGUCGUGUGUUCAGGGGGAGCGUGCGGCACAGUUAGGCAAAACCCGCCUUGCUGUGCGUGGAAAUAUAACAACGAUGGAACAGUAAGAGGGAUGGCGCGGCGACUGGCGGGCCAUGUGGAGAUGUAGAGAUCCUGGUGAACGAGGAAUGUGGGAAGAAUUACCGCGACGUAAAAGGAGGAGGUCGAAAAGGACGAAGACGAAUAAGGAGUGACAAGAAUCCGAAGGGAGGAAGAAUGAGGAGGAAGGGGAAUAAAAAGAAGAGCUGAAGCAGCAGGACGACGCCUUGAAACACGGCGGUUUUCACAUUCACAUCAGCCAAAACCUCAUUCCUUACCCUGUCUCCUCCUUCCUGCACUCACUAUCAACCUCCUCUCCUCCUCCUCCUCCUCCUGCUCCUCCUGCUCUUCCUGGCUCUCCUUUUUCCUAAUAAUUCCAUACCAUUGUGCUCCUCCUCCUGCGUCUUGUCCUCCCUCUUUCCCCUUCUCCUGCAUAAUGGUUUGGUCGCCAUACGUGUUGCAAAGAUAUUCAAAAGCUAAAAAGAGAACACCUUAGAAGAACCUAAAUUAUUCCUUUACUAAGAGAUAUUCCCUAUGAAGAAAGGCUAAAUGAAGUGAAUUUAACUUGCUUUUCUAGUCGAAGAUUGCGAGAUUAUCCAACAAAAGAGUUUGAAAUAUUCGAAGAUUUGAUAACAUGAAUGCAGACGACUACAUUACAGUUGAUCGACCACAUAUGGUAAGACAAUAAUUGGUAAAAUUAUUCACGCCAAAUGAAGCCAAACACUACAGUUGAGUUGUCGACUUUUGAAACUACUUGCCAGUGUCGUCGAGGUGCCGCUAUUUGGCACAUCUUUUUAAAUUACUCAUCACUGAGACAUCUCUUCUUGUUCCACAGCCACUUCCGAACAUUGUACUCCUUAGACAUUGUACCCUUUUCUUAUUCCUUUCUUUCUCGUAGUUGCUUUUAAGGAUUUCAUACAUUAUUUCUAGCCUUAAGCAUUGUUGCACUUCGCGGUGAAAGGGUUAAAAAAUUGAAGAAGGAUCUCGACUCCAACCCAUGGCUAAAAUACCACCCGCAGUCGUAGCAAAAUGCACUUACAUUCUCUCGGGCUCACCUGAGAGAUGUUGCCUUCCUGAGGUGGUUUGUGGCUGUGUCGCACCGGAUCGAAGUACCAAUAGUGAACGUCCUUAUCUCUCGCUUAUAAAAUCGUCUAUGCAGUUACUCAGUUUCUGCACGCUGCCGACACUGGAGGGAGCGAUGGGUGAGGAGGAACCUUUGUAUAUAACAUCCUUUUCUCACUGUGUAUAAGAUAGUAUAGACCGCAAAACAACUGCAUAAGGACCAACGUGUUUGUUGCCGCUUGUUCUUCCUUUUCGUUCUUAAGUGUUCUUAUCUUUUCGUUAAUUUAAUUUUUUGUGCGCUUCUUUCUUCUUCCUGCUCGUUUUAUUCCUCCUCCUCCUUUUAUUCCUCCUCAUCCUCUUCCUCCUUCAUUUCUUCCUCCUCCUCCCUGCUGUUACCUGUUUCUCUUGGUUUUCCUUCUCCGUCUACCUCUGUUUCUUCUUCCCGCCCUUCUCUUCUUGUUUCUCUUCCCUCUUCUUGCUAAACAUAUUUGCCUUGUUCUUCAUUAUGCUUCUGAUCCGUCCUCCUCCUCCUCCUCCUCCUCCUCCUCGUCCGUCCGCUAAACCUAAAAAUGCAGUAAAAACUCUCAGCGGGACAAGGAGAUAAGGCCUACGACGAUAAGAAAAAUGCCACUAAGAACAACGAUAAGUCAUGGCGCGUUAGGAAGGAAGGGUGGACGUUGAUUUUUGUCCCUCCUCCUCCUCCUCCUCCUCUUACUGCCUCUCGUUUUCUUACCCUUUGCAUUUCCCCCCUCUUUAUCUCCCCCUUCCCCACUCCUUCAUUUCCUUUACCCUUCCCUCCCUUACCCCUGUUUCUCCCUCCUUGCCUUCCUCUCCUGUAUCUCAUCCCUCCCCUCCCUUCUUUUGGACUGUCCCUGCAAGAUUUACAUAAUGCUUACUUCUUCACGGAGCAAGACCCCCAUACAGUGACCUCCGCGUAGUACUUCCCUUUGCCGUGUUCGCCUUAACGGGGCCUUCUUUACGGCGGAGGUUCCCGUGUUUGCUUGUUUGUAUCUCUCUCUCUCUCUCUCUCUCUCUCUCUCUCUCUCUCUCUCUCUCUCUCUCUCUCUCUCUCUCUCUCUCUCUCUCUCUCUCUCUCUCUCUCUCUCUCUCUCUCUCUCUCUCUCUCUCUCUCUCUCUCUCUCUCUCUCUCUCUCUCAAAACCAUAAAUAGUGAUCCUCGUGGCCGUGUGUCAAUCCUCUUUGCCUUUUCUUUACUCCUGUCUACUUGUUUGUCUUCACGAUGUCGAAUGAUGCAUGGCUGGGUUCAUUUGUGUGGGGGAUCUCUCCGCUAGAUGGCAGUGUACGGGUCUGCUUCUCUUACCUAGUAGUGUGUGGUUAACUCGAGUGCCAGGUCAUGUGUGGCUAGGAUCUAAGUAUCUGUGUGUGCCUCUUGUUGCUUCUUGUUUUGUCUCCUUGUGAUGAGAUGGAAGACAAGGCGUAGUUAGGAGUGAAGUUAAAGAAUGAUUAGUUAGUGUUAUUUAAUGUUGUGUGUGUUAUUCAGUUUGUUUAUGUUUUCUCUGAUUCUUUGACUUCUUUUAUUCUUUGUUACCGCUGUUGUCUUUUGUUUCUUUGCGUUCUUUUCCUCCGUUUCCUUAUC